AGACUGGAUAGGAAACAAAAAGGCAUCUUUUUGUUUUUAAAAGACCUUCUUACGAAGGUAUGCUUAAAGAGGGGCUUGCGCCACAUUAGUUAGUUGGUAGAGUAAAAGCCUACCAAGACGAUGAUGUGUAGCUGGACUGAGAGGUUGAACAGCCACAUUGGGACUGAGACACGGCCCAAACUCCUACGGGAGGCAGCAGUAGGGAAUUUUCGGCAAUGGAGGAAACUCUGACCGAGCAACGCCGCGUGAACGAUGAAGUAUUUCGGUAUGUAAAGUUCUUUUAUUGAAGAAGAAAAAGUAGUGGAAAAACUAUAUUGACGUUAUUCAAUGAAUAAGCCCCGGCUAACUAUGUGCCAGCAGCCGCGGUAAGACAUAGGGGGCGAGCGUUAUCCGGAAUUAUUGGGCGUAAAGGGUGCGUAGGCUGUUAGAUAAGUCUAUAAUUUAAUUUCCGUGCUUAACGCUGUCUUGUUAUAGAAACUGUCUUGACUAGAGUGAGAUAGAGGCAAGCGGAAUUCCAUGUGUAGCGGUAAAAUGUGUAAAUAUAUGGAGGAACACCAGAAGCGUAGGCGGCUUGCUGGGUUUUUACUGACGCUGAGGCACGAAAGCGUGGGUAGCAAACAGGAUUAGAUACCCUGGUAGUCCCCGCCGUAAACGAUGAGUACUAAGUGUCGGGGUAAAACUCGGUACUGAAGUUAACACAUUAAGUACUCCGCCUGAGUAGUACGUACGCAAGUAUGAAACUUAAAGGAAUUGACGGGACUCCGCACAAGCGGUGGAUCAUGUUGUUUAAUUCGAAGAUACACGAAAAAUCUUACCAGGUCUUGACAUACUCUGCAAAGCUAUAGAAAUAUAGUGGAGGUUAUCAGGGAUACAGGUGGUGCAUGGUUGUCGUCAGUUCGUGUCGUGAGAUGUUAGGUUAAGUCCUAAAACGAACGCAACCCUUGUCGUUAAUUGCCAGCACAUAAUGGUGGGGACUUUAACGAGACUGCCAAUUAAACAUUGGAGGAAGGUGAGGAUUACGUCAAAUCAUCAUGCCCCUUAUGAUUUGGGCUACAAACGUGAUACAAUGGCUGUGACAAAGAGUAGCUGAAACGCGAGUUUUUAGCCAAUCUCAAAAAAGCAGUCUCAGUUCGGAUUGAAGUCUGUAACUCGACUUCAUGAAGUUGGAAUCGCUAGUAAUCGCGAAUCAGCAUGUCGCGGUGAAUACGUUCUCGGGGUUUGUACACACCGCCCGUCAAACCACGAAAGUUAGCAAUGCCCGAAAGCAGUAGCUUAA
RNAcentral lists this ribosomal RNA (1276 nucleotides) under 'Chrysanthemum morifolium' phyllody phytoplasma. RNAcentral's name for it is "bacterial SSU rRNA". It matches the Rfam family "Bacterial small subunit ribosomal RNA", at positions 166 to 1438 of the family's 1533-position model. Lineage: Bacteria; Bacillati; Mycoplasmatota; Mollicutes; Acholeplasmatales; Acholeplasmataceae. The record is from RNAcentral.